CUGUUACGCUAAAAGGGCUAAUGUCGGCAUUCGGGAUGUCGGCCCGUGUGAAGAGAAUAGAAAAUGUCGCUGUAACCGAAUAAUGAUUGACGUAUGUGGAUAUAAUGGAAUACAGUAUAAUAACCCGUGUCUGGCCAGAUGUCAUGGAGUGGAAAAUUUUACCCUCGGAAAAUGUGAUGUAAUUCUCUGAAAUAAAAACCAGUCAGUAAAAGAA
Saccostrea cuccullata (small rock oyster) is the source of this 214-nucleotide long non-coding RNA. RefSeq lists it as uncharacterized. The transcript has 3 exons. NCBI's taxonomy places the organism in Eukaryota, Metazoa, Mollusca, Bivalvia, Ostreida, Ostreidae. The record is from RefSeq and is a predicted model, not a curated record.